Molecule: ribosomal RNA, 497 nt
Filed under: uncultured bacterium
Lineage: Bacteria
Description: partial 16S ribosomal RNA
Rfam family: Bacterial small subunit ribosomal RNA
Source: RNAcentral
GAUGAACGCUGGCGGCGUGCCUAAUACAUGCAAGUCGAGCGAACAGACGAGGAGCUUGCUCCUCUGACGUUAGCGGCGGACGGGUGAGUAACACGUGGAUAACCUACCUAUAAGACUGGGAUAACUUCGGGAAACCGGAGCUAAUACCGGAUAAUAUUUUGAACCGCAUGGUUCAAUAGUGAAAGACGGUUUUGCUGUCACUUAUAGAUGGAUCCGCGCGGCAUUAGCUAGUUGGUAAGGUAACGGCUUACCAAGGCAACGAUGCGUAGCCGACCUGAGAGGGUGAUAGGCCACACUGGAACUGAGACACGGUCCAGACUCCUAAGGGAGGCAGCAGUAGGGAAUCUUCCGCAAUGGGCGAAAGCUUGACGGAGCAACGCCGCGUGAGUGAUGAAGGUCUUCGGAUCGUAAAACUCUGUUAUGAGGGAAGAACAAAUGUGUAAGUAACUGUGCACGUCUUGACGGUACCUAAUCAGAAAGCCACGGCUAACUACGUG